CUUUCAUGCUAGCUCUACUGUAUUGUUACACUUUGUGCUGCUGCUGCUCAUCUAGCAAGCUAGCUAACUCUAACAUGUAGAAUUGCUUUCUGAAAGGAUAAUGUGUUUGGGGCCGAUAUUCCAGGACUUUUAUGUCUUGUUAGUAGUUUAUCACACCAGGUGUAGCUUCAAAUGCACACUUCAAGACCUGAGGAGGAGUACUUUAACUUUUGGUAAGAAUGGCAACUCUUCUCAAAGAUUCUUCUCCUCUAACAUAUCACUGCUUCACUUGACCAAGCUGGACAUCCUUUGCUUCAUGCAGUGAGUUGAAAGCAAGUUUCAAAGGCCACAAAGCUCAGAUCUCAGCAGGGCACAUGUUUCUCACCAUGUGAGGCUGCAUGUGUUGGAACACAUGUCAGUGCUACAGUGCAGAAAGAGGCUGGGAAGCAAGACAUCUUCACUACUAACCUUUGGGAGGAAAAGUAAAGAAAGGCCGGUAUUCCUAUUUCUUAUCUCCUUUAUUCUUAUCUGCCUUGUUUUCUUCAACUGUCCUCUCCCCACGGAGUGGUCUUGUUCUCCUCACUUGCAGAUGAUGUGGUUUCGAGGGCUGGAGCUGAUGCAAAGUGACGUGUCUCCCCAUCACAGGAGUGGAGCUGAGGCUGGGCCUCACUUCCCCCGCACUGGGCUGUUUUUGUUCACCGCAGCUCAUGCAGAUAAUUUGCCGGGAUGCAGUGGAGGGCUGUCACAAGGACUUGGCUCAAGGGGUGUGGGAAAAUAGCAGAAGCGUCUUCCAUGCUCAAACCCUGCCUUAAUGAUGAGCAUUAAAUAUGAACAUCUUCUUUGUGCAAGCGAUGCAUUAGGCAUCCUACAUGUCCCUCUCCUUGCUUUCGCUUUUUCUCUCUUUUGGUCCCUUCUUUCCAUCCCUGAUUCUUUGCAGCCUUGUCUAGAAUGUUGUUUGAGAAUCAGUUGAAUAAUCCGACUGACAAGCAGCCUUUAGGUCAGGGCAUCUCUGUUCAGAAAAUAUUCUCAAUUCUUUGUGAAAGCACAGCACAAACACAGCUCUGCACGACUGAGCUAAUGUUCCUUUACAAAUGCAACUGAAAUGACUAGGUAGACAACAGUGGCUUUGUCUUGGCAUCCUUUACCAUUCGCUUAUCUAUUCGAAGGCUUUUAAUGUGAUUGUCUGAUUGUCAUGUCUAUCUUUGUAGCACUGCUAGCAUAUAGGACCAUACCAAAUGAUAAAUUAACAGGCAGAAAGCUCCUUCAUACCUUACUGAUCAGAGACAGCAGUCCCAGUUCAGUUGAACAAGUCUGUGUAGAAUUGUUACAAUGACAGUUACAGAUAAAGUGAUCUCAGGGAACUAAGGAAGAAAACACACCACCUUCCCUUAAAAUAGACCUCCCUGGGUACUGAAGCAAAGGACAGAGUGACAUUGUGAAUGCUAACAUCUGUGCAGAACCUUGCAGUACCAAAUGCCCCAACCCCAAGUUUGAGCAGACUCUACCGUCAUCCUCUGAGGAGCAGCCAUUUUGGAAGGCUCUCCCGGCACAGAUGUUGCAUAUUAAAAUGUAGGGCUGUUUUAGCAGAGGAAAUGCUGUGGAGAGAGGGGGCUGCUCCUCUGUGGGCCUCACCUGUGCCUUCAUCCAAGAAGCCAAUCCAAGAGAGGGUACUGUUUAACCAACCAAAAACAAAGUGACAUUCAAGAUAAAGUCACUCUGCCGCCUCUUUGACCCUGGGAGGCUGUGGACAAAUUAUUUCACACAUGAACAUACCUUGUUUACAACAGAGACAAUUGAUUCACAUGCUAGUUUCAAGAAAAUAAUUGCUGUUAGUGUUACCAUAUAGAUGCACUGAUAUACCUUAGCCAUAUGUGUUUCUGGAACUUAUAUAAAGAGUAAUAACUAUUAGUCAACAACAUAAAGAGGAUCAAUGCUGUGACCCUGCCUGACCAGUGCUUAAACAGGCAAUGAACAUUUGACCCACAACAUCUCUCAUAAUGAAACGAACAUUGUCCACAAGAUGGAGAUAUUCACCAGUUUAAUGCUGAGCUCCGACCUGGCUCCGCAUGAAACAGACAGACGGGAGAGAGAGAGCCCGAGAGAGUGAGGGAGACACAGAGGAAGAGAUGCACUACAUGGCUGUGUGUGACAGAUUGUGUUUGCAUGAGGCAGUAUGUGAUGCCUGUAUAAUGUUUGAGUGUGUCUCUUUGUUUAUGUGUACAGUGUAUGUGCCUGAGUGAGAAGGUGUGUGUUUUUGAAUAGUGCGGCGCUCUCCAGCUGAGGUGUUGAGGGGGCAGAGUGUGCUAACAGAGAGGUUGUGAGUGGUCCCUGAGCUUAUUGGCGGGGGUCCCAGGGGCCCAGAGCAGAGAAGAGGUCAAAGCAGGUCGGCUGUCCUGUGCGGUGCCGGGCCCUGCGGCCCACUGUGUGUGCAGGGGAGGGUUCAGGUGUGUGUUGACCUCUUGCUCCAGCGGGCUGUAAGUAAAGAGAAUGAGGUCUGCUGCUUUUAUCCAGGAGGCAAGCUGCUGCUGCAGGAGGCCUUACCCGGACCAGAAGAGGCCUUUAUCCUCUUCAUCCCACCUUUACCUCCACCUUUAGAGCCUGUGGAGGGUUCAGCAAAUCCACAGUCACCACCAACCUUCAGCAUCAAACAACAAACCAAUAAAUGAAUGGCAUUGCUUGCAAAAAUCCUCCAACACUAGUACUAAAAGUUACCAGGCAGUUUUUUAAAUAUGUGUGUGUGUGUGUGUGUAUGUGUGUGUGUGUGUGUGUAUGUGUGUGUGUGUAUGUGUGUGUGUGUGUGUAUAUAUAGAUUUGUGCUGACCUGCCGAUUAUCGGAUAAACUGAUCAGUAGAUAGACAGAAAAAUUACAAUUUUGAUAGUUUGUUAUUUGUGUCAUUUAUCGAGCAAAACUGCCAAACAUAUUUUGUUUUCAACUUGUCAAAUAUGAGGAUUUUCUUCUUUUCUGUGUUUUAUGUGAUAUUUUGUUUUUUAAUGAUCAAUCAAUGAAUCAAAACAUGAUAAACAACAACAGAAAGAAAACAAUCAUUGCAGUUGUAGCCAUAAUACAUGCAGUAUGAUUAUUCAUUUGUUACAAGUAAACCAAUAAACAUGCUUCAUUAUUCUGCAGUAUCACUGGAUUGGAAUCACUGGAUUUUCAUUUAAAUUGGAUACAGAGAUACAAUUGUUCUGUUACAGCAUAAAGUGCAGUACAUUUUGAUACUUUAUAACAUGUUUAAAAUAGCAGACCCAUUAAGAAAAAGAAAGAAAAACUGAAUGUCAAAAAUACCAAUCAAAUUCAUUCUUGUCAGUGAACACUAAGCUCCAAAACAUCAUUAAAGAGGCUGCCUUGAUCGCCAAGAAUAUCUUUGCAAAAAAGGCCGUUUCUCUCAUGCAGCAUAAUGAUGAAAAGCCAUUGUAAUGAUUCUACAACAAUGUUACUGCAUAUUCUUUUAUGUGGGUUGCAGUCAUUUUUUCUUCUCUGUGAUUGUGUCUUUAUAUGAGUCAUUCAAGGAUGCCAACUAGCUAAUUCAGAGAACUGUCAUAAUAGCUUCUGUGGACAGUUGAGUGCACACACCUUGUCCAUGGGUGCAUUAAUUAAGAUGGUUGCUUGAAACCACUAGCAAUUAAUGUACUGUAUCAACAAGCACAGUGCACCACAAUAGUGAAUGGUAGCCAAAUGGUAUUACUGCAAUGGCACCUGGUCCUCAAUAGGCAUUGUUUGGCUACCUUUUGUGCCCAUGUAGUGUGACAUAUUGCCCUCAAGCAUUGACCAUCUGACCAGGGAGAGGGCUGAAAUGCUAGGCUAAUAAUAGGAGAGCAUAGCCAGGCAAAGGAUUCUAGUAAUUAUGCCCCACUGUGGGACAUGAUGGGUGAAAAGAGGAGAGGAUAGGGCUAAGAGAGAGAAGACAAUGGUGACAAAAAAAAGAGAGCAAGUGAGAGCAUCAGUUGAGUUGGUAUUACACACCACAACUAAAGAAACUACCACUUUUUCUGAUGCAAGAGGAUGACAGUCAGAACAAGUACUGGUUGGUUAGACUUAGAGGUUAAGAUAGCAAGGACAGUCAAAGUACCAGAACUGGAUCAACACACUUCAGCCUGAUGUGGAAGAGUUGGGGCUCCUGGUCAGUGCAGCGUAUAUGUUCAAAUCAGGCAUAAAACGUGAUAGGCCAUUUCCAGGAUCUGAAGCCAAGGUCUUGGCAAGAGUCUGUCUCUCUGGGUUACACAGACCUGCCCUUGAACUCAGUUCCCAGGGAAUAGACUCAUUCUCUCUUGAAAAGUGGAGAAAGGAAGCUAUUAUCUGACACAGCCUGUGGAGGAGACGCUGGGCGAUGAUAGAGAACUCAGCCAGGAAAAUGAGGCCGAAGCAGACCACCAGACCAAAGUUUGUUUGCACAGUGACUUUCAUAUUGUUUGUGUUUGUGUCCGUGUGUGCUCUGCUGUGCAUGUGAACAUGUGUGUGUGUGUGUGUGUGUGUGCUUAAUUUGCUGUAUCACAGUGUAUGUGAGCCCCUCACUGUGAGCAAAGGAAGGAUGCAAUUUACAUUUUUGUGCACAUGUACAGGAGCAGCAACAAAUAAA
Molecule: long non-coding RNA, 4556 nt
Organism: Siniperca chuatsi (mandarin fish)
Lineage: Eukaryota; Metazoa; Chordata; Actinopteri; Centrarchiformes; Sinipercidae
Exons: 4
Source: RefSeq, a predicted model, not a curated record